Molecule: transfer RNA, 88 nt
Filed under: Planctomycetota bacterium
Lineage: Bacteria; Pseudomonadati; Planctomycetota
Description: Planctomycetes bacterium tRNA-Ala
Rfam family: tRNA
About the family: Transfer RNA (tRNA) molecules are approximately 80 nucleotides in length. Their secondary structure includes four short double-helical elements and three loops (D, anti-codon, and T loops). Further hydrogen bonds mediate the characteristic L-shaped molecular structure. tRNAs have two regions of fundamental functional importance: the anti-codon, which is responsible for specific mRNA codon recognition, and the 3' end, to which the tRNAs corresponding amino acid is attached (by aminoacyl-tRNA synthetases). tRNAs cope with the degeneracy of the genetic code in two manners: having more than one tRNA (with a specific anti-codon) for a particular amino acid; and 'wobble' base-pairing, i.e. permitting non-standard base-pairing at the 3rd anti-codon position.
Source: RNAcentral
GGGCUGAUGGUCCAACGGGACGACACCGCCCUGGCGUGGCGGCCCCGUUGAGUCGGAGACAGGGCGGGUUCGACUCCCGGUCGGUCCA